CCUUGUAGCGGGGUCGUCUGCAGGAGAAUGAGCCCCAUUAAAACGACGCUCGCAACCUGCAGAAGCGUUCAAGUGUCUUCGACGGCGGGAGUGUUGUGACAAGUGCAAAACGUUUUGUCACUGUAUAUUUCCCCGUGCACUGUGAACUGCGAAAUACAACGAAUAACGAACACACACACA
This is a long non-coding RNA of Penaeus monodon (black tiger shrimp), 180 nucleotides long. RefSeq lists it as uncharacterized. The transcript has 2 exons. The record is from RefSeq and is a predicted model, not a curated record. Lineage: Eukaryota; Metazoa; Arthropoda; Malacostraca; Decapoda; Penaeidae.